AAAAGCACAAGAACAUACCAGGAUAAAAUAUAAAUCAUACUGAAGUAAGUGUACUGAAUCUGAUCUUAACAGCAGAGGAAUUACACCUUUAAUGAGUUGAUGUUGUACUUUAAGGCUAGCCUCAAGUUCUGUGACAUUGUUCCGUUCACUGUCGACUCCUCGUUGGAGUAGGGGGUGGGGAGUAAGUUAUUUUGUGUUGGAGUCAAACUAUUUUUUUAUAUACUGGUUAUAGAAAAAAAAUCCCAGAAAUACCCAUAUUAAUAUGACUAAUAGAAACUGACCUUACAUAUCAGUUUCUCUAGAAAGAAAAAGGCUUCUUAUGUUUAGUCCAGACUGAAGAUGAAUUCUAUUUUGUUACUGUAUUAUUCAUUAUGACACAUGUGGCAACUUACCCAAACAAAAUUCAGCUUUUUUUCAAUUUAAAAUGUUUUGCAAAGAUGUGGAAUAAUGUGUGUAUAUGCAUGUAGUUUUAGUUACUGCAGGGCUCAGUAGAAUUCCCCUACAACACACAGGCAGAAGGCAGUUCUUUGUUUCCAGUCUGAUAAUGUUCUCACUCCUGCAAUUUUACUUGUAAAUGAAAACAACUGAAAAAAUAUAUUUUGGGAAGAAAGAAAACAGAUGGGGUGGGGGCGGGGAUGGGGCAUAUAAUGGAUAAUAUAUGUGUGUUAGAAAAAUGCAGAAAAUCAAGAAAAGACCAAAGAAAAACAGAGGCAAAUGUGGCCUCUUAAAGUCAUCUAGGCCAGCAGUUAGUAUUUACUGUACAUGAUGCGAUGGACUGGCCGUUUUAAAUUGAAGAGGAAAGUGUAAUUAACUGUUGGUCAAUGUAAAUAUAUUUAAAACGUAAUAGUCGUAAAGCAAAUGUGUCUUUGCUUUACUUUCCCGGUAUGGCUGAGGAAUGUUUGUGUCUACUCCCAGAGUGACUCACUGGCAUUAAAGAACACCUGAGUUACAGUAAGUCUGUCAGUAUUUGGCUGCUGCGACGCAGUGAACAGUUGUCAAAGACCAUGGCUAAUUUGUGUAUUGACAAUAGUCACUGCCUUUUAUAUGUUCACUGUGUAUCUGUUAUUAUAGCAGCUGUUUUGUUAUCCCUAAUUCCAUAAUUAUUCCCAAGGCAACCUCUACCUUUUAUUUAUGAGAAACCUUUUAAAGAUGCCAAAGAGGUUCAUCUUUCCGUGACAAACCACUUUGGCUAGUAAUUGCUGCAAAGGAUGUUUAUUGCAGUGCGUGGUUGACGGCAUUUGAAAACAGCAAUAAUAAUUCUGAGUUGACUCUAAGUAUUGAACCAAAUAAAGCUGAAAAUGAGACAUAAUGGUUUCUUUAUAUAAUAAGUAGAAUCAUAUAUCAAGCUAUCCACACUGAUCUCAGUUGAGAGGUUUUACAUUUGUGAGUGAUUGUUUUUGUGCGAAGGUUGGGGGUAGGGUGAAGUUAUAUUUGGUGGAAAGAAGUUCAAUAAUGAGAGCAUUAAGCAACUAUGGUAGGGGGUGAGCUGGGUGUGCGUGCAUGCAUGCUGUGUGUAUGCUGGGGGUAGGAGUGCUGGGGUUUGGGGGGUUGCUGCCUAAUCCCUGAGGAAAAUGUGGAAGAAAUUAAUCUAAAUUACAAGGAUGAAGCUAGUCUGGAGUCUGGGACUGGAAGAGCUACAGAGGAAAGGCGGGUGAGAGGGAGGGAAGAGGGGGACCAACUCUUUCUUUUUUUGUUUUUUUGGUUGAUGUUUUCUUGUUAUUUUUUUUUCCUUUUUUCCCCCUCAUCCUGUGGGAAUGAGGUGGUCUGUCUUCCUUCCUCUUUGGCUUGCCACGCAGAUGCCCCUCCUUCGCUUGCUCAUGAAUGGGCCUCUUUCCAAUUAGUUAGCAUUGUAGCCACUGCCAGUGUGGACAAGAUUGUAGAGACCCCUCAGUCCCUGUUCUCAUCCUGGUGCUCUCUUCUCACAGACAACAGAUGUUUUGGUUUCUCGGGGAAUACGUGAUUCUUUGCUGGCUUCUCCUAGUGUCAACAGCAAAAUGAAGAUACUUUGCAAUUCUUUUCAACCUGCCACAUCUCAGUACUCUCAGAGAGUGGAGAAGAAUUAGCUGUAGAAGAGACCUUGAUGGUCUCCCACAAUUUUAUAUAAGCUAAUUCGUAUAAAGAGUCCACCACCAGUAAAAAGCCCUUACUUCUUCCUCAUUUACUCGCACACAAAAACAGAUAAAUUAACACAGGAUGGUUGCCGCCACUCAUCUAUUUAAUGAAAAGCAUCUGCCGUCUCCCCUUGCUAACCAACAUACAGGCAAAUCUUGUUCACCUAGGUCUGAGUGCAGUAAUCAGAACAAGCUGUUUGGUCAACAAACAAACCUGUAAACACAAAACGUACCAAAGUUUAUGCAUAGUACUGUUUACCAGUUUACCAGAAUCAAAAUUCAUGACCACAGGGGGUAUCGCAACAGGAGAUAAGUAGUCUUAUUAGUUGCUCAGAUGCUUCUUUCUCAAACAUUUUUGUGCAGUCCAUUAAGUCUACUGUGAAUCAAUAGAAAACAGAAAAAAAUCCCAUGAAGCAACAUUUGCUGCUUAUUGUUGUUACCAUUAAUGGGAUUAUGGCUUAGCAGGGAUUAUUGAUUUGUCUCCGUCUCGCUGCUCAGUUCUUCAUUGUCACUGACAUGCACAUGGCUGAUUCCCGAGCCCAGAAUGAAGUCUGAGAACGCAUGGCUGAAAUAAAGGAUAAGGCCGCAGUAAUGGUCACGUUCUCUUCACUGUUCAUGACGUCUACGUGGCAUCUACAGCGCUCUCACGGUGCUUCACCCAAAGUGUCAUUCAGCCAUCUGCUCUCUCUGCUCUACCACCACUGCUAUCUAGACUUCAGGUUUUCCCGUCACUACCUUCCACUCCCAAAUAUACUUCCAAAUGUGAAGAAAAUAAUGUAUUUAUCUUACAUUAAACAACAGACAAUAGUUUUGUUUGUUUAUUUUUGUUAGUAGCUGAUGAAUUAUACAAAGAAAAUGCCAAAAGACAAUGGAGUUUAAAAGUGCUGUACUCUUAGAGUUGACUGGCCCUAUUCUUGUCUGAGAAAUUUUACUGGUUUACAAUGUUCAGUGAUAUUUUCAUUGGGAGCUCCAACAGUCUUCCAGGUUUGAUUGGUUUAAAAAAUUGUUUGUGGGGCUGCAUUUUGUAAAAAGUAAAGGGUAAACUUUGCAGAUGCUUGCAGGUUGCAGUUAAAUUUAUUUAUAAUAAUAACUAAUACUUUGAGCGUAAAUGAGCAUAUUUUAUGUGUAUUAAUGUAUUUAUUUCUAUAUUUUGUAAUACUUCACAGGCUCUGGCAUCUGUCAUGCUAGUAAUGACAAACUCUUCUGUCAUCAAAACUGAAUUUAGGCCCAUUCACAUUAUAAUUCUUCAGUCAGUUGGGGAUGAUCAUGGCUAAUCAGUUGAUACAGUUUUUGUUUGUUAUCGUUUUAUUUUUUAAAAACAUUUAAAGAUUGACAAGUUUGAGUCUAUUGUUAUCAUUUUAGUAUAAUAUACCUUUGCGAACAUAUUAAUUUGCUGCACAUGUUAG
Long non-coding RNA from Astatotilapia calliptera (eastern happy), 3517 nucleotides. NCBI's taxonomy places the organism in Eukaryota, Metazoa, Chordata, Actinopteri, Cichliformes, Cichlidae. The record is from Ensembl.